GUGGAGUUCACGUGCACCGCGUACUGAUGACUAAUACCAACCACUCUGGGACGGAGAAGUGAAGAGCAGGAUGUAGAUAUCAAGACAACCGGCACAGACUGGACGUCGUGUCACGUAAUAUGUCUCCCAAGUGAUAGACGCAUCGCAGUGCUGAUAUAAAAGUCCAUUGGCAAUCAGUCAAAGCCAAGGCACGGCGUCAUAAUGGAGCAGCAGCUCUGGAUGGACGAGGAUGCCAUCCAUCAGUUUGAAGGGACGCCGCUGAUGUGUGACUUCCCGUCCAUCUCGUCAGUCAUCUUCAUUGUUAAAGUUGGAGGUAAGGUUGGGAAAUUGAGGGCCUGUUCAUCAAGCGUUUCAGAGGGAACUGGGGACAGGCUAAUGAGAAAGCCAUCUUUCACAGACCAAGCCUGGCGGUGUGAUAAUUGCGCGAAACCAAAAAAUUAAAUAAAAAAACUACUGAGGAACAAGGAGUUAAAUUGAAAAAAAGCCUUCUGAGCCUUGCACUUCAUCCACUUAGCUGGGUUUCGCAGUGUUUUCCACCAAUUUCUUGGUUGAGCAGACACACAUAAAUUGAUACAAAUCCAUAAUCCAGAUUGGGGCUUAAAUCCGUCUCUGCUUCCUGCUUUUCCUAACAGGCGUGUGUUGAGUAUUGAUCGCAGCCUGAAUAAUUGAGAAGCUUAAGCUAAGCAAGCAUGUGAGGGGAAAUGGUACUGAAUAGUACAUCCAAAAAAUGGGCAUCAAAUUUGAAGUGCAAAGAACUGCAGUGCAAGUCCACAAUAAAUUGGGCCUUUUGGUUUAGUUAAUGCACAAAUGCACAAGUUUUUUACUCGUAAUGUUCACUGAGGUAAUUUUGCAUCUGCUGCAGGUUGAGGUUUUACUGGCAUACUGUACUACACCUGACUUUAACAAUGCAAGGAGGAUUUUCCGUCUGCAGCGUGGUAAAGCCGACACUGCAUGUUUGUCAUUAUAAAACAUUUACAAAGGAAUCCAAUGUAUUGCACAGGACACUUCAACGAG
Gasterosteus aculeatus aculeatus (three-spined stickleback) is the source of this 1014-nucleotide long non-coding RNA. The record is from Ensembl. Lineage: Eukaryota; Metazoa; Chordata; Actinopteri; Perciformes; Gasterosteidae.